This is a long non-coding RNA of Oreochromis aureus, 1547 nucleotides long. RefSeq lists it as uncharacterized. The record is from RefSeq and is a predicted model, not a curated record. Lineage: Eukaryota; Metazoa; Chordata; Actinopteri; Cichliformes; Cichlidae. The transcript has 3 exons.
CAGUUGACUCUAACGUGCUUUGUUAUGCAGAGGACUUCACGGUCCACUUAAUGACUGCCAGAGCUCAACUCAUCACUCCCACCUCCGUGCUGACAGUGUGAGGUGUUUGAUUUUCUCCAAAUCUGGUGCUGUGCGUUACGGCCAAACAUCUCCACUUUGGACUUGUCUGUCAACAGGACAUCGUUCAGAUGCAACUUUGACUAAACAGUCUGACCUUGGGGUGAAUUUCCUGGGAUUUCCAUUAAUGGGAAUACUGGGAAAGGUCUCUAAUAUUUUCCACUUUUGAAUAACCUUCCUCACCAUGUACUGGACUUCAAAUUAUUUAGAAAUAUCCUUACACCCAUUAGUGAUGGACAGCAACACUGCUGAAGGUAAAGAGGCUAAAGGUGACAAAUACGAGCUCUGAGAACAAUCACAAGUUAUACAGCAACCAAGUUUAGUUUUCCAGAAAGCAGUUAAGGAUUCCCAGUAAAGUGGGGGGAAAAGGGACAAUACAAGCACCCUAACACAUCUUCCCUACGACCAUUGACAAUGUUUCUGUGCCUUUGAGAAAUGGUGCACACGUGUGACUCUGAUUCUAAACAGCACUUUUCAUGACUUGGGCAUGGACAGGAUGAAGGCAUCUCUGCUUGGGACUCCAAUGUGCUGCUCGAGGACUGACAGUGUGACCUGGAGGAGUGUGACAGGCAAAAAAGGCUUGCUUGAUCUGAAGCCAAGUGGUCAUCUGUUGUUGGACUUUAGUGCUAAACAACCGUUUGUUCAUAAAGAAAAACAUUGUAUUUGAGCAUAAGGGUUUGCAUAAGUGCAUUUUGCAGCAGGAGGUUCUAGACUGGUGGUCUGUGAGAGACCUACAGAGAGAUGAUGUCCCACAGCUUGUUUGGGAAUGCCUCUGGAGGAGGUGGCUGGGGAGAGUGAAGUCCCACCUUCUUUGUUUAGACUUCUGCCCUAGAUAAGUAACAGAAGAUGGAUGGAUGGACUUUUUCAGGGCAAGAACAUUUAAAUACCUAGAAUAUCUUCUUGUAGCUUUGCAUUACAAUUUCUACUGAACUAUCUGAAAGAAUAGCCCACCCUACCUUAUUCAAAUAACAAUGUGGCAACUGAUGCGCAAAUCAUUUUAAAUAAACUUUCAGCAUUUCAUUGAAGCAUAUUAAAAAAACCUCAAAUGGUCUAAUCUAAUAGGCUAGUAAGUGUUUUCUGCAGCUCUGUGCAGCUUCUUGGACCUUUGGAUUCAUUCUUUUGAUUUUAUGACUCAUUUGAUUCUGUCUAAUGAAACCUGAACCAGCAGCUGAAAGUCAAAUGAUUCUUUAUCAGACAAGGGCAAGUAAACCAACUGAAUCCACUGAAGCAUACAUCCAAUUACUAAAAAAGUUAGGAAAACUGGAGUUUAAUGGAAUAUAAUAUAAUGAAAAUAAUGGUCCAAGAAAAAUACAACGGUAUAGCCCAGGGCUGGACUGGGACAAAAAAUCGGCCCGGGCAUUUUGACUAGAGACUGGCCCACCAGGUAUUAUAGGAAAAACCAUAAAGUCUUUGAAUAAAAACAAACGCUG